Molecule: non-coding RNA, 9251 nt
Organism: Anas platyrhynchos (mallard)
Lineage: Eukaryota; Metazoa; Chordata; Aves; Anseriformes; Anatidae
Source: RefSeq, a predicted model, not a curated record
UUGUUUUAAAAGCGGGUGUGAGGGAAGGCUGGAGGGGAAGCAGCAGGGGAUGGGGAUGUAUUUAAUUUGUGCCUCGGAUCCUGCCACCUAGGAGAGGCUGGGUGACAGGACUGAGCUGUCCUGGUCUGUGGGCUUCUUGAAGAGUGAACUGGGAUCUUCUGUGUGCUUGGGGCUUUGCAAUGCACCCCUAAAUCACCAAAGUUUGGUGAACCAAACCCAAGGUCCUGCUCCUGAAGGUUUUGUUGGCUGCACACUUAACUCUGCAAUGACAGCACAAAACACGGGAUCUUGAAAAGAAAUGACACUUCUGAAGGCAAACAAGAAGGAGAUGUUCUGUUCUGAGUGUGCUGAGAAGCUUCUCCCCCUCCAAAUGUAAUGAACUUUUAUUGCUGUUGAGAAGUUCCUAUAAAAAGACAUUUUCCAAUGCAAAAAAAAACCUGCAUCAGGGACCUGUUUGGCUGGGUUUACAGGUGAUGGAGCUGGAAUUACUCAGCGGUGCCUGUUCUGCCUCCAGAACCUGCCUGCAGCAUCACCUCCCAUCUCCUGACAAGCCCCACCGUUACCUGGGGAUGCCUGGGGGUCCCCCGUAGCCUCAGAAAAGCUCUCUGUUGGCUUCACAUUUUUUUUUUUAAAGCUUUUGUUUUGAUAAAAACGGUGAGUUUUCUAUCAAAGCCACUGCUGCCUUUCAUGCCUGGGGAAAACUAACCAUGAGAAUGGCUGCCUUUUAGCCGCAGCUGAUUUAGGGGAUUGGGAGCCUUUCAUGGUCCUACUUUUAUCUUGGGAAUAGGCAGACCUCCUUGUAGGAUGUGAGUGUUGGGGAGGGAGAGGUCAAUGUGCUGGGAGAGGUUUGGGCUUUGUCCUGCCCACGGGAGGCUCCAACCCGUUGGUACCACGAAGAUGAGCACAGCACCUUGAUGCUUUUCCCUUUGGAGCCAAGCCUGCGUGCGAAGAGGGAGCUGGAGAUGCUGCUCUACGUUCACUGAAGAGCAAGAAGCCCAGAUAUUAAAUUUAGCAUUUAGGGGGAAAGCGGAGGGAGGAAGGGCGCUGCUUCCUUCUUAAGCACCUCUGUUGGAUGGCAGGGUUGGGCUGGGGGUGUUGUGGGCUAAAUCCCACCCUGAUGAACUUUGCUGCCCUCAGCCUUCCGAAAGCGGUCGCUUGCCAAGGAUCUGCUGGGUCUGGGUACCUGGAGGUGAUGGCUGUGAGGAUGCAACCUGGCUGCUCCCCAGCUCCUGCAGAAGAGGGGGACGCUGAGAUGCUGCUGUGGUGCUGCUGCUGCUCCUUUUUGUGAAGGAUUGGAGAGCUGCAAAGAGGAGAACAAGAAGUCGGUGGUACCUGGUGCAGUUCGUGCCAACAGAGAUGUUCUGCAGACGUGCAUUGAUUUCAGCCUGGCAGCGUUGCUGGGAGGUGUCUGCGGUACAGGACGAGGAGCAGGUGGGGAAACUGAGGCAAGGAACCCCGCUCAUGCCUGCUUGGUGACUCAGCCUCCAGCAGAGGAACCCAGGCUCCCCAUCCAGCAAACCAGGGCAGGAGGUGGAGGAAACCUGCUGAGAGCAACCACUUCUGAGCCCCAGUGCGGAUAUCCCUUGCAGGCAGAGAUUUCCAUGUGAGCAAGCCGCAGGUUCUGAAGCACGCAUGAAGCCUCUGGGAAACGCACCACGUGUGCAAGUGAAGUCCCCACGGCUCCUUCCCCGGGCUGCUGCAGCGCAUCGGGGCGCUUGUGCCAAACCGCAGCUGCGUGACAAGGACGCCCGGCUCAUCUCUGCGGGGCAUAAGGUGGACGUGGCAGGCGACAGGCCUGUCAAAGCACUUGGGAUUAGAGCCUGUCACAGUCGGCACAGACAGGUUUUUAUUUCAGGCAGCCGCCCGCCGCUCCCGCUCGCAGCACCGGGGAGCCGGUGAUGGCACACAGCGGGGCUGUCCCUGCUCACAGCCUGGCUCCCCACGGGAGGGCACGGCCCUUCCUUGAUCUCAGCCCCCUCAUCCAUCAGGAACCAAGCUUUAUCAGCUCACGUCUCACUGGGUGACUUUUUUCCUUUUCCUCUUGCCACCAGCAAAUCUUAGAAUCCCCCAGCAUCUGAAGCACGGUGUGAUUUCCCAGGCAGUGUUUGGUCUGGUUCGUGAGGUCCUGAUGGAGCCUGGAGGAACGGGUUGGUCUGAGACCCACCAAGAGCUCCGAAAGUCCAGAGACCAUCCUCAGCCACUUGCAGGAGAGCGUAGAAGGUGAUUCACCUCCAGCUGCUCCACAGAAGAAAAGUCUCUUGUUUAAAAGCAAUCUAACUUUGCCCAUCCCAGCCUUUCGAAGCUAUUGUGGCACCUCAGUCAGAUUUCUGCAGAUUUGUCAUCCAGGAGCUGGGUUCUCUUGGCUGGAUUCUUCUCGCAAUUCGUCAUCACGAGUAUCAUUUACCCUCUGAAGUUACGUUUUGCUUUUAAUCAGUCUUUACCAUUCAGGCAUGCUGCAAACGGCUCCCUCGACGGCCAAGCAUUAUCCUUCUUAAUGAGCAGGACUUGGGGGACACGGGGGAGCAGAGCAGCCCAUUUCUCUUCAUCACCACCAAUAGAUCAGAGCAAAUCAGUUUUGCAACAAUUUUAAUAAAUCGAUUCAAUUUGGCAAACCAAAAAAAAAAAAAAAAGAGAGAGGGAGAUUAAAAAGUAAAGAAGGAAAUAAUGUGAGAUGCUUCCAGCAAUUGUGGUGGAUGGUAAAUCUCUUCUUUAUUACUGCUUUAUUAUUUCCAGAAUCUGAAGUUUAAAUAAUUAAGCAGAAUAAAUGGUGGAUGAAUAUUAUUUUCAAGUUUUAUUUAUUGAUUCUCAAAGGACAGAUGUGCACAGAGACCCAGGCAUAGAGGAAGCUAAUUUCUCCAGUGGUGUAAAUCAGCACAGCAUCAUUAACAUGAAUGUCAUUUAAAGGAGAUUUACACAAGCUGAGAAUCCAGCCUCCUCAUUUUGGGAGGUAAAUAUGGAAAACUACAUAGGCUUUAAUAUUUUUUGUUCUGUCUUCUGUGCAAUUCAUUUAUUUUCCAGUUUAAAAGCAGAUCAGGUAUAUUUUUUGUGUAAUUUAAAUACAUUUCUUGACAGAGCUGCUCACUCUGAAAGUCUUUUUGGGAGCUUGAAAUUGGCCAACUCUGUGUGCCUGCAGGUUUGCACUCGGAGGCCAGGUUGGUACCUGGAAGGUGACAAGAUGCUGGGCUGCCCCUAGCUGUGUGAGUGACGAAAUAUUUGGGAGAUGCUGGAAGUGGGGCUGGGCUGGGCGCAUCUGUAGUGCCUGGGAAAAGAUUUCCCAGAGCCAAAGGCUGAAUUCCUUCUGCAGUCUGCUGUGCACCUUGCUGUUGAUAAUAUCCAUGUUAGCACCGUAGUUAUCCAUUUAAAACACGUGUGAGACCCCAGCUGGUGGGAGCGCACCCCUCUGAGCUCCCCGGGGUGCCCAGCUGUCUCUGCACCGUCUCGUGGUUGGGGAUGAACACCUGGUGCCUUUGCUGUUCUUAAUCACUGCUUUAAUCUCAGGUCACCGCUGCUCCCGUGGGCACCCUGGGGGCUCCUGUCUUCCACAGGAAAGCUCCAGCACUGGGAUGAUUUUUGGCACGCAGAGGAGAACAAGGUGGCGGCGGCUGCAGCAAAAGCAACAGAGGCCUCAGAGAAGCAGAGGAAUGCCACCUGGUGUUAACAGCGGGGCCAAUUAAGGAGACCAGGAAUUAAGGAAAUCUGACACCUGUAAGGAGAUUAACCCAAAGGAGAUGCAAUGUUAUCCGAAAUUUCAGCUACAUGGGGAGUGACAUGUGGAUGAAACAGGCCAGUGAGCAGGUUUGGGCUCCUCCGGUUUCUGUCCUGAGAUGUGUGGCGGCUGCUCCGUGCACGGCUGGAGCUCUCUCCAGGAACAGCCGUCAGGGCCUCGCUGCAGCAGUAAUGGGCUUGGGCACUGUGUCAGCUCCCUUCAUACUGAUGAGAGCUUAUAAAUAUAUAAAUAUAUAAAUAUAUACGUAUACAUAUGGGAAGUUUUGCAGUCAAACCACAUGGAUGUUUUCGGUGGAGCAGCCACAGCUCGCUGCCCACCUGCCUGCCAUCAAAUCAAGAGUUUUCCAGCAGUAUCAGCAUCAAGCAAAUCCCUGCAAGACAGCAGCCUGGCAGGAUGGGGAGGGAGAGGGACACAUCUCCAUGUCCCCAGCCCCACGGAGCCCCCUGAGCCUGAAGGCUGGAGCAGACAGGGCUGGGAAAAAGCUUGGCCCCCGUGACCACUGUCCAGCAAAGCCAGGCAAGGAGCUGAGCACAACGCAGAGAUGCGUGCAGCCGGGAGGCCAGGAGUCAGAUUAACAAGGACGUGAUCUAUCAGCCACGAGUUGAGGACAAAAAUGGCUGAGUAGUGCUGGGUAGAAAGCGCACAGGCAGAGCUGGCUCUGGAGUGCCUCUGGGAUGAAUGCUUGGUAGGAGGCAAAUGCAGUCCUGGGUUGUGCGACCCAGGGCACCCGAGCAGAGGGGCAGGGAUUUAAUCCGUUCUCCCAGCACGGAGAUGGUUAAACCACUGGUACUGCAGACAGCUUUGGGCAAAACAUCACAGAAAGGAAAUGGAGAAGCAGCAAAGGGAGGGAAUUGCAGCCUGGAGGAAGAUAAAGGGUUUAGAGAGGAUGGCUGUGAAGAAAGCGAUUAGAGGAAAUUAAACAUGGACAGGCUGGAGACAGAGGCUGGGGAGGGGAAGAGGCAUCUGGCUGUGCUGGUGCAAGGGCACGUUGCAGGGCAGAGGAAUUGUGCUCAUCGCUGAGCAGUGCCGGCUCAGGGAGGAAAGAAUGGCACCAGACAGAGCGGGAGGCUUACGUGCAUCAAUAACCAGCCAGGCAAUAUUGGCACCAGGACCAAUUCCGGACUGAAACCAAGCAGCACAAAUCCGAGGGGUUUGGAGGAGGCAGGAAUGUGUCAGCUCCUGCCUAGUGAAGCCCUAACGCAUGUGGUUUGUGAACCCGAAGGAGCUUUUAGUAGAGCUCUUCUGUCUCUUCUGUCUCUGUUUUUUCAACCUAGUGAUUAAAAGUCCAGCAUGGAGAUGCCUCUUCUCUUGGCCAAACCUCUUGCAAGGGGCAGACAACCGUGCCUUGAACUUGGCAGCUUCUUCAUCUGGGAAGUGCUGUGGCUGGUGGAUGCAUCGUCCCCAGGAUUUUGGUGCACUGGCUUCUGAAGAGGCUGGAGGAGCAGUCCUUGUAGUGGGAAGGUUGAGGACAAGACUUGGACUCUCAGGACAGAUGAGGGUGCUCUCGCUUGUCCUAGUGAUGCUGUCAGAUGCUCUGGUGUUGCCUUGGUAAGGGGGAGGACAAGAGGAGCUCCUGUCUGUCUGCAGCACGUGGCUCCUUGGAGCUGUGUGAGGGCACCAACCUGAAGCUGCAUAGAAAUUGCUGCCAAGCUUUGGGAACACCAACACAGGCAGUGUCACACAGGUGCUGACCACAGGUGGCCGUGCCACAUCUUGGGAAGGAUAAAGAACGAUUAGGAAAGUCGAGAAGCUCUCUGCAAGCCUCAUCCAAAAAGGAUGCUGCUGGGAGGGAAAUGCUCUGGGUCAUGGUUUGAACCCUGGCUCUCCUCUCCCACUGCCCCUUUUCUUCUUAAAAAAUAGGAUGGGAUUAAAUCCCAUCAGUAGCUUUUAAAAGGCAACUGAAAAUGUCCUUUAUUAAAUUACUACCCUAUUGAUCUUGCAGUCAUCCGAAAGGGGAUUGAUUGAGGGCUUAAACAGACACGCAGCCGGGCCAGACGCUCAAUUAAUGUGCAUAAACGGGCAGUGAAGAAGCAAUUUUCGGAGUAAGUCAAGCAAAAGAUCAAUCCUGUUUUGCCUUCCAUGCCAAAGUUGCUUGUGUAUUUAUUUUUACGUUAGUUCAUCUUCAUUUGUUUGUCCCUCUUAUGAUAAGCACCGCGUUGAGAGGUGGCACUCAAAGCACGGCUCGCUCCACUCCCAGAGCCAUCGCUCCUUUCCUUCGGGCCUUGGAGAAGGACACAGUGGCAGCAGGGUCAGGGAAAGCCAUGUCAUCUCAGAGAACCCACACCUGAAGGUGUUUUUAGCGAUGUACACCCCAGGUUCUCCAUGAAAGUCUUACCGAGAGGGCAGCGUGAAGCAGCAGCAGACCUGUCACCUUUUUUGAGUACUCACGUGUCUGAUGGACCUUGAGUUGCUCUCCCAAGUCUGGGGAAUAUCUGGGGGGGAAAAAAAAACAUCCUCUUUAUUGACUGUUCCCUGCCUCUUCACCAUAUGACAGUUCCAGGUGGCUGCUGGUGCAAAGCAACCACGAUAGAUCUACAAAUGCUUAGCUUUUCUCUGGAUUUUCCUGCAGGGAGAGCCCAUAAACAUUGCUGAAGAAUGGGCCAGAGCAAAGCAUCUGAAGGCAAAUCUUUACACUGUGUUUGGUUGCGCUGUGUUUGUGAGCAAGCUGCAAGGAAGGCUCUGUUUUGCUUGUUUUUCUUUCCUUUUUUUUUUCUUUUUUUUUUUUUUUUUUUCUUUUCUUUUUUUUCUUUCCCCUUUAGACUUAACAAGAAUCUCGAUAAGAAAUUCUGGUCUCUGAAGGCCACCAGCCCAGACCCGCUGGCUCAAGCUCCUUGUUCCCAACCUGCCUUUUAGCCAGAUGUAGGUUGCAUCACCCCAUGCAUACGAAGGGGAUCACUUAUGGCUUGCAGCACUCUGAGGAGAGCACAGAGGCAGGCUGCCGAGCCCUGGCUGUGGGGAAGGCUGAGCCAGGUCUUCUCAUGGCUCCACACAGCUCAGCCACAGACCUGGUGACCUGGAGAUGCCAAAUGUCCCUGUGGUACAGGGCCAUCAGGUCUUUCCAUGGGGAACCAGCGUGGCUUCACAGCAGUGACACUGGGGACCUUAACUGCGCUCCUGAGUGUGCAGUGCCAGAACUGGAACCCGGUCCCCUGUUCUGGUUCCUGCUCACCCAGCUUCUCCUAAGCAGCGGUAGAAACGCCUGCAUCUCCUCCAAGGAGUAGGAUGGGAAUUUGCUAGGGUGAAGGACACCUGAUCUGCUGCACUGGGGGAGUACGGGCUCAAAAACAUCCAGGUGAGCUCUUCCACCUUCCCUUCUCUCAUGUUUUUGUCCUUUGCUCCUCAUGGUUGGGUGGAUGUGGAGUCCCCAAGAUCUCUGCGGUUGGGGCACACGGAGAAGAAAGCUUCUUCCCCCAGUGCUGAGCCCUCUCCUCCCGUCCCACCAGACUCAGACAUCCCUCUCACUGCUGCUCCGUGCAACAUCGUGGCUUUGUGAAUCCCCUUCCAGGACGGGGGGGCUGUGUCCUGACCUGGCAUCGCCGGUGAGUCACCGCAGCCGGCAGCUUCCCCGUGCCGCAGCAGCUUGGCCCUGGCGCAGGCAGGAGGCAACGUGCUCGGAGCUAAAGCCAUAAUUAGCAGGAGCUCGUUGCAAAGGCUGGGACUGAGGGCUUUUCCUGUCUGUUCUGUCUCGAGAAACCUUUCAUUAUGUGGAUGGAAAAAGCUUUCUUCUCUUCCCCUUUGCACAGAGAGGGAUUUCCUCUCGCAGACAGGCUGUGCUGGUCAGGCAGCCGGGAUGGGCUGGGGGCUAAGGGUGCCCUGGGGUUUGCUCUUCCCCUUGGGUUGGAGCUGCUCGAGGUCCGGGAGAGAGGGGCAAGAGGAAGGGAUGAGAAGAGCCUUUGGGGUGGGGGAGUUUGGGAGAUUUGCUCAGUUCUGCCCCUGAUUUAGGAGCAAAACAAAGAGCCCCUGGAGGAGGGCAGGAGCGCAGCCCCUCUCCCUGAUUUUGGGAGCGGAGGCUUGGGGGUCCCAGCCCAUCUCCUCCCUCAGCCCACGGGGAGCAGUGGAGAGGAAUUGGAGCUGGCGGCUCCUUUCUGCUCUCUCAUCUUUGCGAUACAAUCACUUUUAAGGAGGAUAAAUUAUUGAAUGAGUGAAAUCUUCUGUGAAGAGUAAUAAAAAUGUAUCUUCAAUUAGAAUGUGCUGAGGCUUUUUACAGCACCUGAAUGGGAGCUGCUCCUGCGGCAGCGAGAGACCUCUCAUCUCUUCUCUUUCUUUCCUCGUCUUUUUUAGCCCAAGAUUGUUGUUCCUUCCCUGCUCAAGAUUGGCUGUGCAGGAAUAGACGUGCACCUCAGCAGCAGGGUUAUGUCAACAUGGGGGAGUGGAUGAUCUCUUUUAAACCAAGACCUGGUAUCCUCUGCAGCAGUGCCAUUGUGCCUGAAGCAGGACCAAGCUGCUGACUACUUGACUUUGUGGUCUGCUCCUCCACCAUGUGGCUCUUAGGAUUUAUCCAGCGCCCUUCCAACCACUGCGACUGCAUCGCUGACCAGGACAUCAGGCAGUGAGUGUUGGGGUGCUGGGUUAGACACCCAACAGCCAGAAAAGCUGUGGGAGCACCAAGCAAAGCUGCUGCUGUGGGCAAACCCCUCUAGCCAGGGAGUGCUUGGGGUGCUGAGAUCCCCCCAGCUGCUCCCGUGAUGGCAAACAACCAAAGUUGUCUCUUCCUGAGGGCAAGCUCAUCCAGAGCAUCACCACCCUUAUAUGACUGUAAAUUUGGGGGACAGAGGGAAGGAAUGAUUUAUACGUAUAGCUGAGAUUUUAUUUGCAUUUUAAAUCACACUCCGGCUAAACUAAUGGACCCCCUAUUUAUAGAUGACUCCAACAUAAAGUGACUGCUAAUUACUACAAUUAAUAUAGCGUUAAAGGCUUGCCAGCCAACUCCACUGCAACUUGUAUCGCCUACUCAUUUUCAAUUAAGGCACAUUGACAAGUAAAAUACGCAGUUAUUAAGAGCAGAGCCCUGUUGCAUAAUUACAUUUUUCUAAGGUCAUUAAUCUCCCACAAUAUCCAGUUUUACACCCAGUGGCUGGAGAGGGGGCAGUUCGAGGGACAGCCCGUUGGAGGGACAGUGGUAGCACUUAGGGAAUGCAAACGAGGUGAGAUUUUUUUCUUUUCAUCCUGCCCUCAGACGGUGUGUGCAUGUCCUUGGCUGGGCAUUCGUUGUGUCUGUAGCCAACGGGUGCCCUGCUGAGCAGACUGGCCGUGCCAUGCAGCACCCUGGGGUGUGCCAGACGCCUGUGAGAGCCCAGAUUUUUUCUUCGUUUGGGUCAAGCAGCAAAGCCUUGUGUUUGUGGAGCUCUCGGAUAGGAGCUUUCAUUCUGCUUUUGUACGUGUGGUUAUCUCUGCUGUCAACAACGCUGCUAAUCCCACGGCUGGGGAUCCAGGCAGCUGUGCUGCUUCUUGUUGGCACAAUUUAAGAAGCCUUCUAGCACCACCAGGAUGGCUUUGCCUCUGCAGGGAGGGAUCAGCUUUGGAG